GGCUCAGAACGAACGCUGGCGGCAGGCUUAACACAUGCAAGUCGAGCGCCCCGCAAGGGGAGCGGCAGACGGGUGAGUAACGCGUGGGAAUCUACCCUUGACUACGGAAUAACGCAGGGAAACUUGUGCUAAUACCGUAUGUGUCCUUCGGGAGAAAGAUUUAUCGGUCAAGGAUGAGCCCGCGUUGGAUUAGCUAGUUGGUGGGGUAAAGGCCUACCAAGGCGACGAUCCAUAGCUGGUCUGAGAGGAUGAUCAGCCACAUUGGGACUGAGACACGGCCCAAACUCCUACGGGAGGCAGCAGUGGGGAAUAUUGGACAAUGGGCGCAAGCCUGAUCCAGCCAUGCCGCGUGAGUGAUGAAGGCCCUAGGGUUGUAAAGCUCUUUCACCGGAG
RNAcentral lists this ribosomal RNA (393 nucleotides) under Rhizobium leguminosarum. RNAcentral describes it as "bacterial SSU rRNA". It matches the Rfam family "Bacterial small subunit ribosomal RNA", at positions 21 to 444 of the family's 1533-position model. The record is from RNAcentral. Lineage: Bacteria; Pseudomonadati; Pseudomonadota; Alphaproteobacteria; Hyphomicrobiales; Rhizobiaceae.